ACACCGGCAGCUCUAGUGGUAGCUGUUCUUAUUGGGCCUAAAGCGUUCGUAGCCGGUUUGGUAAGUCACUGGUGAAAUCCUGUAGCUUAACUAUGGGAAUCGCUGGUGAUACUGUUGAACUUGAGGUCGGGAGAGGUUAGCGGUACUCCCAGGGUAGAGGUGAAAUUCUGUAAUCCUGGGAGGACCACCUGUGGCGAAGGCGGCUAACUGGAACGAACCGGACGGGGAGGGACGAAAGCUAGGGGCGCGAACCGGAUUAGAUACCCGGGUAGUCCUAGCCGUAAACGAUGCGGACUUGGUGUUGGGAUGGCUUUGAGCCGCUCCGGUGCCGAAGGGAAGCUGUUAAGUCCGCCGCCUGGGAAGUACGGUCGCAAGACUGAAACUCAAAGGAAUUGACGGGG
Molecule: ribosomal RNA, 401 nt
Filed under: uncultured bacterium
Lineage: Bacteria
Description: partial 16S ribosomal RNA
Rfam family: Archaeal small subunit ribosomal RNA
Source: RNAcentral